GGCGGCGUAGCUCAGUUGGCUAGAGCAAUCGGUUCAUACCCGAUGUGUCCGGGGUUCAAAUCCCUGCGCCGCCACCA
This 77-nucleotide transfer RNA is filed under the name Acetonema longum DSM 6540. Its description in RNAcentral is "tRNA-Met". It matches the Rfam family "tRNA". From Rfam's summary of the family: Transfer RNA (tRNA) molecules are approximately 80 nucleotides in length. Their secondary structure includes four short double-helical elements and three loops (D, anti-codon, and T loops). The record is from RNAcentral. RNAcentral also lists the same sequence under 1 other name. Lineage: Bacteria; Bacillati; Bacillota; Negativicutes; Acetonemataceae.